RNAcentral lists this transfer RNA (73 nucleotides) under Stegodyphus mimosarum. It matches the Rfam family "tRNA". From Rfam's summary of the family: Transfer RNA (tRNA) molecules are approximately 80 nucleotides in length. Their secondary structure includes four short double-helical elements and three loops (D, anti-codon, and T loops). Lineage: Eukaryota; Metazoa; Arthropoda; Arachnida; Araneae; Eresidae. The record is from Rfam by way of RNAcentral.
GUCUUCGUGGUGUAGUGGUCAGCACGCUCGGCGCGGGUUCGAGAGGUCCAUGGUUCGAGUCCCGGUGAGGACA